GACGAACGCUGGCGGCGUGCCUAAUACAUGCAAGUAGAACGCACAGUUUAUACCGUAGCUUGCUACACCAUAGACUGUGAGUUGCGAACGGGUGAGUAACGCGUAGGUAACCUGCCUGGUAGCGGGGGAUAACUAUUGGAAACGAUAGCUAUACCGCAUAAUAUUGAUUAUUGCAUGAUAAUUGAUUGAAAGAUGCUAUUGCAUCACUACCAGAUGGACCUGCGUUGUAUUAGCUAGUAGGUGAGGUAACGGCUCACCUAGGCGACGAUACAUAGCCGACCUGAGAGGGUGAUCGGCCACACUGGGACUGAGACACGGCCCAGACUCCUACGGGAGGCAGCAGUAGGGAAUCUUCGGCAAUGGACGAAAGUCUGACCGAGCAACGCCGCGUGAGUGAAGAAGGUUUUCGGAUCGUAAAGCUCUGUUGUAAGAGAAGAACGGGUGUGAGAGUGGAAAGUUCACACUGUGACGGUAUCUUACCAGAAAGGGACGGCUAACUACGUG
RNAcentral lists this ribosomal RNA (504 nucleotides) under uncultured bacterium. RNAcentral's name for it is "partial 16S ribosomal RNA". It matches the Rfam family "Bacterial small subunit ribosomal RNA", at positions 28 to 507 of the family's 1533-position model. The record is from RNAcentral.